This 373-nucleotide ribosomal RNA is filed under the name Boophis ulftunni. RNAcentral's name for it is "partial 16S ribosomal RNA". It matches the Rfam family "Bacterial large subunit ribosomal RNA", at positions 2010 to 2549 of the family's 2925-position model. Lineage: Eukaryota; Metazoa; Chordata; Amphibia; Anura; Mantellidae. The record is from RNAcentral.
AUCUCACUGUCUCCCCACUCCAAUCAGUGAAACUGAUCUCCCCGUGAAGAAGCGGGGAUACAUAUAUAAGACGAGAAGACCCCAUGGAGCUUUAAACCCUGCAGCAUCUAUUUUUUAUAUGCCCUUAGACUCCCUUAGCAAAUGCUUGCUUGGUUUUAGGUUGGGGUGACCAUGGAGUAAAAAGUAACCUCCACGAAGAAAGGGAUAAAACCCUCAUCAAAGAACCACAAUUCUAUGAAUUAGUAUACUAACUUUUAAUGAUCCGAUAUUCGAUCAACGAACCAAGUUACCCUGGGGAUAACAGCGCAAUCCGCCUCGAGAGCCCCUAUCGACAGGCGGGUUUACGACCUCGAUGUUGGAUCAGGGUUUCCCA